GAUAAACGCUGGCGGCGCACAUAAGACAUGCAAGUUGAACGGACUUAAUCGAAAUAUUUAUCUUUUGAAGCGGUUAGUGGCGGACUGGUGAGUAACGCGUAAGGAACCUGCCUAUUAGAGGGGAAUAACAGUGAGAAAUCAUUGCUAAUACCGCAUAUGCCAUAGAUAUCACAUGAUAACAGUGGGAAAGGAGCAAUCCGCUAAUAGAUGGCCUUGCGUCUGAUUAGAUAGUUGGUGGGGUAACGGCCUACCAAGUCGACGAUCAGUAGCCGGACUGAGAGGUUGCACGGCCACAUUGGGACUGAGAUACGGCCCAGACUCCUACGGGAGGCAGCAGUCGGGAAUAUUGCGCAAUGGAGGAAACUCUGACGCAGUGACGCCGCGUAGAGGAAGAAGGUUUUCGGAUUGUAAACUAUUGUCGUUAGGGAAGAGAAAGGACAGUACCUAAGGAGGAAGCUCCGGCUAACUACGUG
This 473-nucleotide ribosomal RNA is filed under the name uncultured bacterium. Its description in RNAcentral is "partial 16S ribosomal RNA". It matches the Rfam family "Bacterial small subunit ribosomal RNA", at positions 28 to 507 of the family's 1533-position model. The record is from RNAcentral.